RNAcentral lists this ribosomal RNA (459 nucleotides) under uncultured bacterium. RNAcentral's name for it is "bacterial SSU rRNA". It matches the Rfam family "Bacterial small subunit ribosomal RNA", at positions 340 to 786 of the family's 1533-position model. The record is from RNAcentral.
UACGGGAAGGCAGCAGUGGGGAAUAUUGCACAAUGGGCGAAAGCCUGAUGCAGCUAUGCCGCGUGUAUGAAGAAGGCCUUAGGGUUGUAAAGUACUUCAUCGGGGAGGAAAAAACAAAACUAAUAAUUUUAUUUCUUGACGUUACCCGAAAAAGAAGCACCGGCUAACUCCGUGCCAGCAGCCGCGGUAAUACGGAGGGUGCUAGCGUUAAUCAGAAUUACUGGGCGUAAAGAGCACGUAGGUGGUUUUUUUAAAGUCAGAUGUGAAAUCCCUGGGCUUAACCUAGGAACUGCAUUUUGAAACUGAAAUACUAGAGUAUCGUAGAGGGAGGUAGAAUUCUAGGUGUAGCGGUGAAAUGCGUAGAUAUCUGGAGGAAUACCUGUGGCGAAAGCGGCCUCCUAAACGAAUACUGACACUGAGGGUGCGAAAGCGUGGGGAGCAAACAGGGAUUUAGAUACC